AACUUGUUUAAAAUUUGAUUUUAGAAGGUAGCCUACAAGCAGGACAUAUGCGAGAUCACGCUUGCAUCCCUAGGCAGCAACAAUCCAACAAAAAGUAAAUACAAGCAGGACAUCUGCGAGUAGGAAACUUUUUAGAAUGUACUCCCUCCGUUUCAUAAUUCUUAUUGAAAUAUUACAUAUAUCUAAACACUUUUUAGAAAUAGAUACAUCCAUUUUUAGUCAAAUUUGAGACAAGAAUUGUGAAACGGAGGGAGUAUAUAUGGAACAGAAUCUCAAGCAAAUUAACUAGCAGUCGCAACUUAAUCUGACGAAACACACCCUAGUUUUGACCAUCUAAAUACAACCAAACCAACCCACGAGAUGAAUACACGAUCACACACAUGGACAGAGACAAAUCUGUCACAUGAGGCCCGGGCGAGAAUGGAAGGGGAAGUGCGGCGUCGUAAGGGCAGCCCGAUCAAGGUUGCUGCUCCUCUUCUUCUUCUUCACCUCCUCCGUCGUUACACCUUGCUGCUGCUUCUUCUUCCUGCCAUGGCCACCAGCACCAUUCACAGACGGCGAUGAGGAGGAGUUGCUCUUGGGGACUGACGGCACGCAACAACAGAACAACCCCAUUUAUAUAUAUAUCUAUAGCCUUCUUCCUUUUCCCCUUCGUUUACAAGCUCUCUCUUUCCUUCUGCAGCUUUAUAAACUCGAUCUGCUGUUCUUUCUACUCUCUGUCUGUGUGUUGGUAAAGCGGAGAGGUUCCUGGGCACCCUUUUAUACUGAACUCGAUCUCCAAACUUCCACCUGAAGGCACCGUGAGCACGCAACUUUGUAGUAGCUGAAAGGGCUGACAUGUGGGCGAGAAGAACUUAGGGCCAUCUUGUCAGUGAGAGAAGUGGAUGGUGUGGCUGGUAACUAUCGUUUGCUCUGGGCCUCUUGGAUUUUUCUUAGGCCUUGGUCAUGUAGUAAACCGAAGCACCUGGAUGAGGUUAGGAGGCGAGCUUCCUUGGCAGGCAAGCCUCUCAGAUAAAACAGACUUCUUUCUUUUAUUUUUUCUAUAUUUUCCGGGAAAACGAUUUUGUGCAUGUGGAUUGAAAAUGAAAGCUCUGCCAAUCAUCGAUCUCUUGGGAUAGAAACUGGGUGGAAGCCCUUUUGUUUUGACCAUGCAUUUUGCUUCUCUCUUUUAAGAAUUGUUUGCUUGGAUCUAAGCUUAAUGGACCAAACAAUCUCACUCUACA
Long non-coding RNA from Brachypodium distachyon (stiff brome), 1223 nucleotides. RefSeq lists it as uncharacterized. The transcript has 2 exons. Lineage: Eukaryota; Viridiplantae; Streptophyta; Magnoliopsida; Poales; Poaceae. The record is from RefSeq and is a predicted model, not a curated record.